RNAcentral lists this ribosomal RNA (402 nucleotides) under uncultured bacterium. RNAcentral describes it as "bacterial SSU rRNA". It matches the Rfam family "Bacterial small subunit ribosomal RNA", at positions 355 to 774 of the family's 1533-position model. The record is from RNAcentral.
UCGGGAAUUUUGGGCAAUGGGCGAAAGCCUGACCCAGCAACGCCGCGUGAGGGAUGAAGUAUUUCGGUAUGUAAACCUCGAAAGAAUGGGAAGAAUAAAUGACGGUACCAUAUAUAAGCUCCGGCUAACUACGUGCCAGCAGCCGCGGUAAUACGUAGGGAGCUAGCGUUGUUCGGAUUUACUGGGCGUAAAGGGCGCGUAGGCGGCGCGGUAAGUCACUUGUGAAAUCUCUGAGCUUAACUCAGAACGGCCAAGUGAUACUGCUGUGCUAGAGUGCGGAAGAGGCGACCGGAAUUCUUGGUGUAGCGGUGAAAUGCGUAGAUAUCAAGAGGAACACCUGAGGCGAAGGCGGGUUGCUGGGCCGACACUGACGCUGAUGCGCGAAAGCCAGGGGAGCAAACG